GAGUUUGAUCAUGGCUCAGAUUGAACGCUGGCGGCAGGCCUAACACAUGCAAGUCGAACGGUAACAGGAAGCAGCUUGCUGCUUCGCUGACGAGUGGCGGACGGGUGAGUAAUGUCUGGGAAGCUGCCUGAUGGAGGGGGAUAACUACUGGAAACGGUAGCUAAUACCGCAUAAUGUCGCAAGACCAAAGAGGGGGACCUUCGGGCCUCUUGCCAUCGGAUGUGCCCAGAUGGGAUUAGCUUGUUGGUGGGGUAACGGCUCACCAAGGCGACGAUCCCUAGCUGGUCUGAGAGGAUGACCAGCCACACUGGAACUGAGACACGGUCCAGACUCCUACGGGAGGCAGCAGUGGGGAAUAUUGCACAAUGGGCGCAAGCCUGAUGCAGCCAUGCCGCGUGUAUGAAGAAGGCCUUCGGGUUGUAAAGUACUUUUAGCGGGGAGGAAGGGAGUAAAGUUAAUACCUUUGCUCAUUGACGUUACCCGCAGAAGAAGCACCGGCUAACUCCGUGCCAGCAGCCGCGGUAAUACGGAGGGUGCAAGCGUUAAUCGGAAUUACUGGGCGUAAAGCGCACGCAGGCGGUUUGUUAAGUCAGAUGUGAAAUCCCCGGGCUCAACCUGGGAACUGCAUCUGAUACUGGCAAGCUUGAGUCUCGUAGAGGGGGGUAGAAUUCCAGGUGUAGCGGUGAAAUGCGUAGAGAUCUGGAGGAAUACCGGUGGCGAAGGCGGCCCCCUGGACGAAGACUGACGCUCAGGUGCGAAAGCGUGGGGAGCAAACAGGAUUAGAUACCCUGGUAGUCCACGCCGUAAACGAUGUCGACUUGGAGGUUGUGCCCUUGAGGCGUGGCUUCCGGAGCUAACGCGUUAAGUCGACCGCCUGGGGAGUACGGCCGCAAGGUUAAAACUCAAAUGAAUUGACGGGGGCCCGCACAAGCGGUGGAGCAUGUGGUUUAAUUCGAUGCAACGCGAAGAACCUUACCUGGUCUUGACAUCCACGGAAGUUUUCAGAGAUGAGAAUGUGCCUUCGGGAACCGUGAGACAGGUGCUGCAUGGCUGUCGUCAGCUCGUGUUGUGAAAUGUUGGGUUAAGUCCCGCAACGAGCGCAACCCUUAUCCUUUGUUGCCAGCGGUCCGGCCGGGAACUCAAAGGAGACUGCCAGUGAUAAACUGGAGGAAGGUGGGGAUGACGUCAAGUCAUCAUGGCCCUUACGACCAGGGCUACACACGUGCUACAAUGGCGCAUACAAAGAGAAGCGACCUCGCGAGAGCAAGCGGACCUCAUAAAGUGCGUCGUAGUCCGGAUUGGAGUCUGCAACUCGACUCCAUGAAGUCGGAAUCGCUAGUAAUCGUGGAUCAGAAUGCCACGGUGAAUACGUUCCCGGGCCUUGUACACACCGCCCGUCACACCAUGGGAGUGGGUUGCAAAAGAAGUAGGUAGCUUAACCUUCGGGAGGGCGCUUACCACUUUGUGAUUCAUGACUGGGGUGAAGUCGGAACAAGGUA
RNAcentral lists this ribosomal RNA (1499 nucleotides) under metagenome. Its description in RNAcentral is "bacterial SSU rRNA". It matches the Rfam family "Bacterial small subunit ribosomal RNA". The record is from RNAcentral.